Molecule: ribosomal RNA, 434 nt
Filed under: uncultured bacterium
Lineage: Bacteria
Description: bacterial SSU rRNA
Rfam family: Bacterial small subunit ribosomal RNA
Source: RNAcentral
CGCGAAGAACCUUACCUGGUCUUGACAUCCACGGAACUUUCCAGAGAUGGAUUGGUGCCUUCGGGAACCGUGAGACAGGUGCUGCAUGGCUGUCGUCAGCUCGUGUCGUGAGAUGCUGGGUUAAGUCCCGCAACGAGCGCAACCCUUGUCCUUAGUUGCCAGCACGUAAUGGUGGGAACUCUAAGGAGACCGCCGGUGACAAACCGGAGGAAGGUGGGGAUGACGUCAAGUCAUCAUGGCCCUUACGACCAGGGCUACACACGUACUACAAUGGGAAGGACAGAGGGCUGCAAUCCCGCGAGGGGGAGCCAAUCCCAGAAACCUUCUCUCAGUCCGGAUCGGAGUCUGCAACUCGACUCCGUGAAGUCGGAAUCGCUAGUAAUCGCAGAUCAGCAUUGCUGCGGUGAAUACGUUCCCGGGCCUUGUACACACCG